Molecule: ribosomal RNA, 463 nt
Filed under: uncultured bacterium
Lineage: Bacteria
Description: partial 16S ribosomal RNA
Rfam family: Bacterial small subunit ribosomal RNA
Source: RNAcentral
ACGCACGCUGGCGGCGCGCCUAACACAUGCAAGUCGAACGAGCGAGAGAGAGCUUGCUUUCUCGAGCGAGUGGCGAACGGGUGAGUAACGCGUGAGGAACCUGCCUCAAAGAGGGGGACAACAGUUGGAAACGACUGCUAAUACCGCAUAAGCCCACGGCUCGGCAUCGAGCAGGGGGAAAAGGAGCAAUCCGCUUUGAGAUGGCCUCGCGUCCGAUUAGCUAGUUGGUGGGGUAACGGCCCACCAAGGCGACGAUCGGUAGCCGGACUGAGAGGUUGAACGGCCACAUUGGGACUGAGACACGGCCCAGACUCCUACGGGAGGCAGCAGUGGGGAAUAUUGCACAAUGGGGGAAACCCUGAUGCAGCGACGCCGCGUGGAGGAAGAAGGUCUUCGGAUUGUAAACUCCUGUUGUUGGGGAAGAUAAUGACGGUACCCAACAAGGAAGUGACGGCUAACUACG